UAAAGAAUAUUGCGCAAUGGGCGAAAGCCUGACGCAGCCAUGCCGCGUGUGUGAAGAAGGCCCUAGGGUUGUAAAGCACUUUCAGUGGCGAAGAAGAGUGAGGGGUUAAUACCCUCGCACUUUGACGUUAACCACAGAAGAAGGUCCGGCUAACUCCGUGCCAGCAGCCGCGGUAAUACGGAGGGACCGAACGUUAAUCGGAAUUACUGGGCGUAAAGCGCGCGUAGGCGGUUUGUUAAGUGGGAUGUGAAAGCCCUGGGCUCAACCUAGGAACUGCAUCUCAAACUGACAGGCUAGAGUGUAGUAGAGGGAGGUGGAAUUUCCUGUGUAGCGGUGAAAUGCGUAGAUAUAGGAAGGAACACCAGUGGCGAAGGCGGCCUCCUGGACUAACACUGACGCUGAGGCGCGAAAGCGUGGGGAGCAAACAGG
This 429-nucleotide ribosomal RNA is filed under the name uncultured bacterium. RNAcentral's name for it is "bacterial SSU rRNA". It matches the Rfam family "Bacterial small subunit ribosomal RNA", at positions 355 to 776 of the family's 1533-position model. The record is from RNAcentral.